GGACUACUCGGGUAUCUAAUCCUGUUUGAUCCCCGCGCUUUCGCGCCUCAGCGUCAGUUGUCGUCCAGAUAGCCGCCUUCGCCACCGGUGUUCCUGCUAAUAUCUACGAAUUUCACCUCUACAUUAGCAAUUCCGCUAUCCCCUCCGACACUCUAGCUUGACAGUUUCAAAGGCAGUUCCACAGUUAAGCUGUGGGAUUUCACCCCUGACUUGACAAGCCGCCUACGCGCGCUUUACGCCCAGUGAUUCCGAACAACGCUAGCACCCUUCGUAUUACCGCGGCUGCUGGCAC
Molecule: ribosomal RNA, 292 nt
Filed under: uncultured bacterium
Lineage: Bacteria
Description: partial 16S ribosomal RNA
Source: RNAcentral